CACGCCGUAAACGAUGGGUACUAGGUGUAGGAGGUAUCGACCCCUUCUGUGCCGUCGUUAACACAAUAAGUACCCCGCCUGGGGAGUACGGUCGCAAGACUAAAACUCAAAGGAAUUGACGGGGGCCCGCACAAGCAGCGGAGCAUGUGGUUUAAUUCGAAGCAACGCGAAGAACCUUACCAGGCCUUGACAUCCAAUGAACUUUCCAGAGAUGGAUUGGUGCCUUCGGGAACAUUGAGACAGGUGC
This 247-nucleotide ribosomal RNA is filed under the name uncultured bacterium. RNAcentral's name for it is "partial 16S ribosomal RNA". It matches the Rfam family "Bacterial small subunit ribosomal RNA", at positions 796 to 1041 of the family's 1533-position model. The record is from RNAcentral.